GCAGUCGCCGCGGUAAUACAGAGGGUGCGAGCGUUAAUCGGAUUUACUGGGCGUAAAGCGUGCGUAGGCGGCUUCUUAAGUCGGAUGUGAAAUCCCUGAGCUUAACUUAGGAAUUGCAUUCGAUACUGGGAAGCUAGAGUAUGGGAGAGGAUGGUAGAAUUCCAGGUGUAGCGGUGAAAUGCGUAGAGAUCUGGAGGAAUACCGGUGGCGGAGGCGGCCCCCUGGACGAAGACUGACGCUCAGGUACGAAAGCGUGGGGAGCAAACAGGAUUAGAUACCCGGGUAGUCCCUGUCUCUUAUAC
Molecule: ribosomal RNA, 302 nt
Filed under: uncultured bacterium
Lineage: Bacteria
Description: partial 16S ribosomal RNA
Rfam family: Bacterial small subunit ribosomal RNA
Source: RNAcentral